GUACCGGUGACGGUGCUUCGGGAGGAAGCUGCCCUGCCGAGGCUGGGUGCCGCAAAGGUACGGGGUGACGAACAGAAAUCGAGUCAGGCGUGCAUUGUGGGACGAGCCUGCAACACAAGGCAAAGUCCUCUAUCCAUCUCAGGCAAUGUCCGUAUACUCGGCAUCCAUGUAUCGAAAGACGUGUGU
Desulfotignum phosphitoxidans DSM 13687 is the source of this 186-nucleotide non-coding RNA. NCBI's taxonomy places the organism in Bacteria, Pseudomonadati, Thermodesulfobacteriota, Desulfobacteria, Desulfobacterales, Desulfobacteraceae. The record is from Rfam.